Molecule: ribosomal RNA, 292 nt
Filed under: uncultured bacterium
Lineage: Bacteria
Description: partial 16S ribosomal RNA
Rfam family: Bacterial small subunit ribosomal RNA
Source: RNAcentral
GUGCCAGCAGCCGCGGUAACACGUACUGUGCGAACGUUAUUCGGAAUCACUGGGCUUAAAGGGUGCGUAGGCGGCGAUUCAAGUCAGAUGUGAAAUGCCUGAGCUUAACUGAGGCACUGCGUUUGAAACUGAAUUGCUUGAGUAUUUCAGGGGUGUGCGGAACUGCCAGUGGAGCGGUGAAAUGUGUUGAUAUUGGCAGGAACACCGGAGGCGAAAGCGGCACACUGGGGAAUAACUGACGCUGAGGCACGAAAGCCAGGGGAGCGAACGGGAUUAGAAACCCCCGUAGUCC